Molecule: non-coding RNA, 140 nt
Organism: Chelonoidis abingdonii (Abingdon island giant tortoise)
Lineage: Eukaryota; Metazoa; Chordata; Testudines; Testudinidae
Source: RefSeq, a predicted model, not a curated record
UGAAGUUUUUUCAGAGUAGCAGCUUGUGUUAGUCUGUUCCGCAAAAGACAAGAGUACUUGUGGACCUUCAGAGACUAAAAAAUUUAUUUCAGCAUGAGCUUUCGUGAGCUACAGCUCACUUCUUCAGAUGCACAGAAUGG